UGUGUACGGAUGGUCACAGGUAAACAGAGAAAAAGAGAAAUGUGUGGAUGUAAAACAACAUUUGAGAUAGAAAUGCUAUAAUUUAAAGACAUAAACAAGUAGGGAAGUGAAUGUAAGAAGAGUGAGCUGGCCUCUGCUCACGGUUUCCCUCGCCUUGAAUUUAGAGCAGGCAUUCACCAUGCACUGGCCUUCCUCAGCAGAUGAUGACUGACUUUGCCCCAGCUUCCACUGAUAGACAGCCCUGAGGCUGUGUUCAUCGCUGAGAGGCGUCCCGACCCAGGUUGGGCCAGGUGCUUGUACAGAGCAGCUCCAUGGAUGGUGCCACCUUCUGCUCCUUAGCGCCAGCGGCACAAGCGCCAGCACUUGCUGGCCUCACCAAUUCCGUGCUGCCCCCUUGGCCAGGAUCCAGUGCAGAUGCACUGGGCUGUCAGGAGCUGAGUGACUCCACCGCUGUUCUUGGGCAAUGGGAUGAGCAGCAGGAGUCAGAUGCAAUAAGGGAUUGCCCUAACGCUGCAAGCCGCUGCCCCUUG
Tympanuchus pallidicinctus (lesser prairie-chicken) is the source of this 530-nucleotide long non-coding RNA. RefSeq lists it as uncharacterized. Lineage: Eukaryota; Metazoa; Chordata; Aves; Galliformes; Phasianidae. The record is from RefSeq and is a predicted model, not a curated record. The transcript has 3 exons.